This 253-nucleotide ribosomal RNA is filed under the name uncultured bacterium. RNAcentral's name for it is "partial 16S ribosomal RNA". It matches the Rfam family "Bacterial small subunit ribosomal RNA", at positions 524 to 776 of the family's 1533-position model. The record is from RNAcentral.
UACGUAGGGCGCAAGCGUUGUCCGGAAUUAUUGGGCGUAAAGAGCGUGUAGGCGGCUUUACAGGUCCGCUGUGAAAACUCGAGGCUCAACCUCGAGACGCCGGUGGAAACCGUAAGGCUAGAGUCCGGAAGAGGAGAGUGGAAUUCCUGGUGUAGCGGUGAAAUGCGCAGAUAUCAGGAGGAACACCCGUGGCGAAAGCGGCUCUCUGGGACGGUACUGACGCUGAGACGCGAAAGCGUGGGGAGCGAACAGG